AAAAAAGCAGGGUUCUGUCGUUGUUUUAUAUGGACAUAUCUCUUGUGUGCUUCAGGUAGAUAUCUCUUGUUUUUGUGUGUGUCUGUUUUCAAUUGACAUGUAAUAUGACUCAAUACACAAUACUAUAUUC
Molecule: small nucleolar RNA, 130 nt
Filed under: Zostera marina
Lineage: Eukaryota; Viridiplantae; Streptophyta; Magnoliopsida; Alismatales; Zosteraceae
Description: Small nucleolar RNA snoR74
Rfam family: Small nucleolar RNA snoR74
Source: Rfam by way of RNAcentral